GACUAGUACCCUGCAAAUGCUUGUCAGAAAUUGGCUUGGAAGCCGGGCGCGGUGGCUCACGCCUGUAAUCCCAGCACUUUGGGAGGCCAAGGCGGGCGGAUCACGAGGUCAGCAGAUCGAGACCAUCCUGGCUAACACGGUGAAACCCCGUCUCUACUAAAAAUACAAAAAAAAAUUAGCCGGGCAUGGUGGCGGGCGCCUGUAGUCCCAGCUACUCGGGAGGCUGAGCCAGGAGAAUGGCAUGAACCCGGGAAGCGGAGCUUGCAGUAAGCCGCACCACUGCACUCCAGCCUGGGCGACAGAGUGAGACUCCGUCUCAAAAAAAAAAAAAGAAAGAAAGAAAUUGGCUUGGAGAUUUUUCGCCGGCCACUCCUUCUUGAGCCCUGACUGAAAAGAAACCAGGCCUGAGCGGAUUCGUGCAUGACAUCUCCCUGGACACAGGGAUGGGUUCACAAAGGGGUUGGAGUCACUGAGAUGUGAGGAGAAGUCUGCUGGCAGCUUCUGGGACAUUACACCCUGGUGCUGAAGAGAUCGCUGCCGGAAGAGGCUGUCUUCCUGGGCAUGUUGUCAGCAAACGGAAACCUAACAGAGACACUAUAAAGGCUACUAUUCCAAUGCUUCUGGAAUUGGUGCUGGGAGAACACUGACAGAGCCCUUCUCCUCUCCUGUCUUGGAGGGCUGAGGGUGGGCCGACCCAGCACGCAGGAGCUCAGAUCCUUCUCACUGAACCAGGCAGCAGAUCCACGCCGCGGGGCUUCCUCCCACGUGAGCAAACGCAAGAAACGACCCUGCAAAUCAAAGACGACCACCCGGGAGAAGCAGGAGAAACUCCCCAAUUUGAAGUGAAUGUAUCAACAUUUCAGAAAAGGUAGAAAGUGGAUGUUGCUGUUUAAUCUGCUCAGCAUCCCUCCCCCACCUCUUUUGAUAAUUGGCCUCAGCAGGGUGGGUGGCCCACGUCUUUAAUCCCAGCACUUUGGGAAGGCAAGACAGGUGAUCACAGGAGUUCCAGACCAGCCUGACCAACACAGUAAAACCCCGUCUCUACUAAAAAUACAAAAAUUAGCUGAGCAUGGUGGUGCACACCUGUAAUCCCAGCUACUUGGGAGGCUGAGGCAGGAGAAUCGCUUGAACCUGGGAGGCGGAGGUUGCAGUGAGCCAAGAUCACACCACUGCACUCUAGCCUGGACGACAGAGUGAGACUGUGUCUCAGAAAAAAAAAAAAAAGAUUCUGUCUCAAAAAAAAUUAUAAUAAUAAUUGGCCUCAUCCAGUGGACACAGUUCUGGGAAUGACACCGAGGCUAGGCCAAUUGGCCUCUCCUGAAAUGUUUCCCUGAAGCUGGAAAAGAGAAACGCUAUCCAGAGCUCAAAGGAGAUGAAUUUGAUGCUACUAGUGUUCAUGUUUCUAAUUAAGGGACAACAAUCUAACUGCAGAGGGAGGAAAUGAAGCCAGUGAAGCCAGGGGGAGAUGAGAGAGAGAAAGAGAAAGACAGGGAGAGAGAGAGAGCAGGAGAGAGAAUAGCACC
Molecule: long non-coding RNA, 1523 nt
Organism: Symphalangus syndactylus (siamang)
Lineage: Eukaryota; Metazoa; Chordata; Mammalia; Primates; Hylobatidae
Source: RefSeq, a predicted model, not a curated record